GAUGAACGCUGGCGGCGUGCCUAAUACAUGCAAGUCGAACGCAUAGCGAAAGGUGCUUGCACCUUUCAAGUGAGUGGCGAACGGGUGAGUAACACGUGGACAACCUGCCUCAAGGCUGGGGAUAACAUUUGGAAACAGAUGCUAAUACCGAAUAAAACUUAGUGUCGCAUGACACAAAGUUAAAAGGCGCUUCGGCGUCACCUAGAGAUGGAUCCGCGGUGCAUUAGUUAGUUGGUGGGGUAAAGGCCUACCAAGACAAUGAUGCAUAGCCGAGUUGAGAGACUGAUCGGCCACAUUGGGACUGAGACACGGCCCAAACUCCUACGGGAGGCUGCAGUAGGGAAUCUUCCACAUUGGGCGAAAGCCUGAUGGAGCAACGCCGCGUGUGUGAUGAAGGCUUUCGGGUCGUAAAGCACUGUUGUAUGGGAAGAACAGCUAGAAUAGGAAAUGAUUUUAGUUUGACGGUACCAUACCAGAAAGGGACGGCUAAAUACGUG
This 497-nucleotide ribosomal RNA is filed under the name uncultured bacterium. Its description in RNAcentral is "partial 16S ribosomal RNA". It matches the Rfam family "Bacterial small subunit ribosomal RNA", at positions 28 to 507 of the family's 1533-position model. The record is from RNAcentral.